AACGAACGCUGGCGGCAGGCUUAACACAUGCAAGUCGAACGCGUGUAGCAAUACACGAGUGGCGCACGGGUGAGUAACGCGUGGAUAUCUGCCUUUUGGUUCGGAAUAACCCCGGGAAACUGGGGCUAAUACCGGAUGGUUCCUUCGGGAUAAAGAUUUAUCGCCAAAAGAUGAGUCCGCGUACGAUUAGCUAGUUGGUGAGGUAAUGGCUCACCAAGGCGACGAUCGUUAGCUGGUCGAGAGGACGAUCAGCCACACUGGGACUGAGACACGGCCCAGACUCCUACGGGAGGCAGCAGUGGGGAAUAUUGGACAAUGGGGGCAACCCUGAUCCAGCCAUGCCGCGUGAGUGAUGAAGGCCUU
This 363-nucleotide ribosomal RNA is filed under the name uncultured bacterium. RNAcentral describes it as "bacterial SSU rRNA". It matches the Rfam family "Bacterial small subunit ribosomal RNA", at positions 29 to 418 of the family's 1533-position model. The record is from RNAcentral.